This 383-nucleotide ribosomal RNA is filed under the name uncultured bacterium. Its description in RNAcentral is "bacterial SSU rRNA". It matches the Rfam family "Bacterial small subunit ribosomal RNA", at positions 28 to 412 of the family's 1533-position model. The record is from RNAcentral.
GACGAACGCUGGCGGCGUGCUUAACACAUGCAAGUCGAGCGGUAAGGCCCUUUCGGGGGUACACGAGCGGCGAACGGGUGAGUAACACGUGGGUGACCUGCCCUCAGCUCUGGGAUAAGCCUGGGAAACCGGGUCUAAUACUGGAUAUGACUCCAUGACGCAUGUUGUGGGGUGGAAAGCCUUGUGCGGCUGAGGAUGGGCCCGCGGCCUAUCAGCUUGUUGGUGGGGUGAGGCCUACCAAGGCGACGACGGGUAGCCGGCCUGAGAGGGCGACCGGCCACACUGGGACGUGAGACACGGCCCAGACUCCUACGGGAGGCAGCAGUGGGGAAUCUUGCGCAAUGGGCGAAAGCCUGACGCAGCGACGCCGCGUGAGGGAUGAC